CCUGCCACAAGGUGGAUGUUUUUACUAUCCAUUGCUAUCAUGAUGUGCUGUGUCUAAAAGCAGUAGGCCCAACCAGUCAUGGACUGAAACUUCUAAAAUGGCCAACUUUUCCUUUUUAUAAGUUGAUUUCAUGUAAGAUAUUUUAUUAUACUAACAGAAAACUGACAAACUUAACAUUUAUAUAUUAUAAACUAUAGUUCUUUUCCUAACUUUCCUGCAAGUGUGAUCUUAGAAAGUAAAUACUGACCUUAUUAUCAUACUAUGGUUAAGAAAACAACCUAAAAACUAAAUGAUUGUUAAUUUACUGUAGAUCAUCAGGACACUUUUUUUUUUUUUUUCAAGCAGACUGAUUAAGAUACUUUUGUCUUUCUGCUUUGUACUAUAGCCAGGCAUGAGUUUUCAAAUAGUUUGAAAGUUUUCAAAUCAUUUCAAAGAGUUUGCAAGUAGCCUGAAGAUGUGAUGAUUGGUAGUAUAUUAGUAGUCAGCAUAGUCUAUAUUAUGAAGUCAUGAGAAACAACCUCAAAACCUCAGUGGUUUGAAACCAAAAGUUUAUUUCUUGCUCUCCUUGCAUGACCAUCAUGGUCAGCAGGAUCUCUGCUCAUAAUAGUCUCAGAGAGAUCUUAUGGAGCAACCAUCAUUUCAAUCAUUUUUGAUUACCAUGCUGGAAGGCAGGAAGAGAGGGAGGAAAAAGAGAGGAAAGAAAGGGAGGAAAGGCAGGCAGGCAGGAAGGAAGGAAGGAGAAGAGAAGGAAAAAAAAAUAGUCAGCCCUGGAAGAUCUCUAAUCUGCAAUCAAUGCUGGGAAGUUAAUUUUCUGGAUCCCUAAAAUAAAAGGACCACUGUUGGUGAGUAGUACAUUAACAAUAGUUAUAAAUUGUAAUAAUACUUUCAGUAAUAAUUCUGUUGCUGACUGCUUACAUAUCUGUU
RNAcentral lists this long non-coding RNA (924 nucleotides) under Marmota monax (woodchuck). Lineage: Eukaryota; Metazoa; Chordata; Mammalia; Rodentia; Sciuridae. The record is from RNAcentral.